This 275-nucleotide ribosomal RNA is filed under the name uncultured bacterium. RNAcentral's name for it is "partial 16S ribosomal RNA". It matches the Rfam family "Bacterial small subunit ribosomal RNA", at positions 524 to 796 of the family's 1533-position model. The record is from RNAcentral.
GACGGAGGGUGCUAGCGUUGUUCGGAAUCACUGGGCGUAAAGGGCGCGUAGGCGGCAUGGCGUGUCGGCUUUGUGAAAGCCCGGGGCUCAACCCCGGAGGUGCGGCCGAAACUGCUGUGCUGGAGGCCGGAAGAGGAGGGUGGAAUACCCAGUGUAGAGGUGAAAUUCGUAGAUAUUGGGUGGAACACCGGUGGCGAAAGCGGCUCUCUGGUCCGGGCCUGACGCUGAGGCGCGAAAGCGUGGGGAGCAAACAGGAUUAGAAACCCCAGUAGUCC